Molecule: ribosomal RNA, 257 nt
Filed under: uncultured bacterium
Lineage: Bacteria
Description: partial 16S ribosomal RNA
Rfam family: Bacterial small subunit ribosomal RNA
Source: RNAcentral
UACGGAGGAGGCAAGCGUUAUCCGGAAUUAUUGGGCGUAAAGCGUCCGCAGGUGGCAAAUCAAGUCUGCCGUCAAAGACCGGGGCUUAACCCUGGAAAGGCGGUGGAAACUGAAUUGCUAGAGUGUCGUAGGGGUAGAGGGAAUUCCCGGUGUAGCGGUGAAAUGCGUAGAGCUCGGGAAGAACAUCGGUGGCGAAGGCGAACUUUCUGGCCUGUUCUUGACGCUGAGGCGCGAAAGCUAGGGGAGCAAACGGGGAU